This 253-nucleotide ribosomal RNA is filed under the name uncultured bacterium. RNAcentral's name for it is "partial 16S ribosomal RNA". It matches the Rfam family "Bacterial small subunit ribosomal RNA", at positions 524 to 776 of the family's 1533-position model. The record is from RNAcentral.
UACGGGGGGGGCAAGCGUUGUUCGGAAUUACUGGGCGUAAAGGGCUCGUAGGUGGCCAACUAAGUCAGACGUGAAAUCCCUCGGCUUAACCGGGGAACUGCGUCUGAUACUGGAUGGCUUGAGUUUGGGAGAGGGAUGCGGAAUUCCAGGUGUAGCGGUGAAAUGCGUAGAUAUCUGGAGGAACACCGGUGGCGAAGGCGGGUCUCUGGGCCGUAACUGACGCUGAGGAGCGAAAGCAUGGGGAGCGAACAGG